GAUGAACGCUGGCGGCGUGCCUAAUACAUGCAAGUCGAGCGAACGGACGAGGAGCUUGCUUCUCUGAUGUUAGCGGCGGACGGGUGAGUAACACGUGGAUAACCUACCUAUAAUACUGGGAUAACUUCGGGAAACCGGAGCUAAUACCGGAGAAUAUCUUGAACCGCAUGGUUCAAUAGUGAAAGACGGUCUUGCUGUCACUUAUAGAUGGAUCCGCGCUGCAUUAGCUAGUUGGUAAGGUAACGGCUUACCAAGGCAACGAUGCAUAGCCGACGUGAGAGGGUGAUAGCCCACACUGGAACGGAAACACGGACCAGGCGCCUACGGGAGGCAGCAGUAGGGAAUCUGACGCAAUGGGCGAAAGCCUGACGGAGCAACGCCGAGUGAGUGAUGAAGGUCUUCGGAUCGUAAAACUCUGUGAUUAGGGAAGAACAUAUGUGUAAGUAACUGUGCACAUCUUGACGGUACCUAAUCAGAAAGCCACGGCUAACUACGUG
This 497-nucleotide ribosomal RNA is filed under the name uncultured bacterium. RNAcentral's name for it is "partial 16S ribosomal RNA". It matches the Rfam family "Bacterial small subunit ribosomal RNA", at positions 28 to 507 of the family's 1533-position model. The record is from RNAcentral.